This 252-nucleotide ribosomal RNA is filed under the name uncultured bacterium. Its description in RNAcentral is "partial 16S ribosomal RNA". It matches the Rfam family "Bacterial small subunit ribosomal RNA", at positions 524 to 776 of the family's 1533-position model. The record is from RNAcentral.
UACGUAGGGGGCAAGCGUUGUCCGGAUUUACUGGGCGUAAAGAGCGUGUAGGCGGCCAAGCAGGUCCGUUGUGAAAACUGAGGCUUAACCUCCAGACGUCGACGGAAACCGCGUGGCUAGAGUCCGGAAGAGGAGAGUGGAAUUCCUGGUGUAGCGGUGAAAUGCGUAGAUAUCAGGAGGAAUACCGAUGGCGAAGGCAGGUCCCUGGGCCAAUACUGACGCUCAUGCACGAAAGCGUGGGGAGCAAACAGG